RNAcentral lists this unclassified non-coding RNA (1717 nucleotides) under Leishmania donovani. RNAcentral describes it as "gene:LdHU3.18.1250(CDS-product:UDP-glucose_pyroph osphorylase)". Lineage: Eukaryota; Euglenozoa; Kinetoplastea; Trypanosomatida; Trypanosomatidae. The record is from RNAcentral.
CCGCAGUGCCUCGCUCGUGCUGUUACGGAGGCGAAGCAAUGGAAAACGACAUGAAGUCUCUCAGCGCCGCCGCUCAGGCGUGCGUAAAGAAGAUGCGCGACGCCAAGGUGAACGAGGCGUGCAUCCGCACCUUCAUCGCACAGCACGUCAUGGUCAGUAAAGGCGAGACGGGGUCCAUUCCCGACUCCGCCAUCAUGCCGGUCGACUCCCUCGAUGCCCUGGACAGCCUCACCAUUGAGUGCGACAACGCUGUCCUGCAGAGCACCGUUGUGCUGAAGCUGAACGGCGGCCUCGGCACCGGCAUGGGGCUGCACGACGCCAAGACGCUGCUCGAGGUCAAGGAUGGCAAGACGUUUCUUGACUUUACAGCGCUUCAGGUACAGCACCUUCGCCAGCACUGCAGCGAGCAUCUGCGCUUUAUGUUGAUGGACAGCUUCAACACCUCCGCUAGCACCAAGAGCUUUCUGAAGGCGCGCUACCCGUGGCUGUACCAGGUCUUUGACUCUGAGGUGGAGCUGAUGCAGAACCAGGUGCCCAAAAUACUGCAGGACACGCUCGAGCCCGCGGCCUGGGCCGAGGACCCGGGGUGCGAGUGGGCGCCGCCGGGGCACGGUGACAUCUACACCGCUUUGUAUGGCUCCGGCAAGCUACAGGAACUCGUCAAGCAGGGCUACCGCUACAUGUUCGUCAGCAACGGCGACAACCUCGGCGCCACCAUCGACAAGCGCGUGCUGGCGUACAUGGAGAGGGAGAAGAUCGACUUUCUGAUGGAGGUGUGCCGCCGAACGGAGAGCGACAAGAAAGGCGGUCACCUGGCUCGGCAGACGGUGUAUGUGGAGGGCAAGGACGGUCAACCAGACGCCGAGAAGAGGGGGCUGCUGCUGCGGGAAUCGGCCCAGUGCCCCAAGGCGGACAUGGAAAGCUUCCAGGACAUCAACAAAUACUCCUUCUUCAACACGAACAACCUAUGGAUCAGGCUCCCGGUGCUGCUGGAGAUGAUGAAGGAGCACGGCGGCACGCUGCCGCUGCCGGUCAUCCGCAACGAGAAGACGGUCGAUCCAUCUAACUCAGCAUCACCCAAGGUGUACCAGCUGGAAACUGCCAUGGGCGCCGCGAUCGCCAUGUUCGAAAGCGCAUCGGCCAUUGUCGUGCCACGCAGCCGCUUCGCGCCAGUGAAGACGUGCGCCGAUCUGCUCGCUCUGCGCUCCGACGCCUACGUCGUGACGGACGACUUCCGCCUCGUCCUGGACGACCGCUGCCACGGCCACCCGCCCGUCGUCGACCUCGACAGCGCGCACUACAAGAUGAUGAGCGGCUUUGAGAAGCUUGUGCAACACGGCGUGCCAUCGCUGGUCGAGUGCAAGAGCGUGACAGUGAAGGGGCUGGUUCAGUUCGGCGCUGGCAACGUUCUCGCAGGCACGGUCAAGAUUGAGAACGCGGACAGCGCCUCGGCGUUCGUGAUCCCCGAUGGCGCCAAGCUAAACGACACAACGGCGUCACCGCCGCAGUCGACAGACAAGUAGGGGUCACGAGCAGCUGAGCAAAAUGACGAGGAACAGAUGUAGCAUCGCACUGAGCACGGCCGACAAAACCGGUCGUGCAGGGCGGGAAAGAGUGCAGCACCGCUGAUGCCCGGCGGCAAGUGCACUCAUAUAUAUGUCUGUGUAUAGUUAUAUGCUUGCAUGUGCGGGGGUUUACUGUUGACUCCCCCUCCCUG